Molecule: long non-coding RNA, 1215 nt
Filed under: Apteryx haastii (Great spotted kiwi)
Lineage: Eukaryota; Metazoa; Chordata; Aves; Apterygiformes; Apterygidae
Description: lncRNA (ENSAHAG00000013127.1)
Source: RNAcentral
AUGCGGUGCCGCGCUGCACAAUGCAAUGCAUUGCUGUGUUGUGUUGUGCGGUGCUGUGCCACGUGGUGCUGUGCCCUGCCAUGCUGCACAAUGCAGCGUAUUGCUGUGUUGUGUUGUGCGGUGCUGUGCCACGUGGUGCUGUGCCCUGCCAUGCUGCACAAUGCAGCGCAUUGCUGUGUUGUGUUGUGCGGUGCUGUGCCACGUGGUGCUGUGCCCUGCCAUGCUGCACAAUGCAGCGCAUUGCUGUGUUGUGUUGUGCGGUGCCCUGCGGUGCUGCACAGUGCAGCGUGUCGCUGUGUUGCACGGUGCCGGGCCGGGCCGGGCCGCACGGUGCAGCGUAUUGCUGUGCCGUGCAGUGCUGCGCCAUGCGGUGCCAUGCUGUGCUGUGCCGCGCAAUGCAGCGUAUUGCUGUGCAGUGCAGUGCUGUGCCAUGCGGUGCUGCAAGGUGCAGCGUCUUGCUGUGUUGAGCCAGGCCGGGUGGCGUGGGGCUGUGCCAUGCCACGCCACACCGUGCCGUGCCACGCCGUGCCGUGCUGCGCUGCUGGUGUCGCUUUGCGCUGCGCCACGCCACGGCGAUCCGUCCUGUGCUGGGCUGUGCCGCGCAGUGCCGGGCCGUGCCACCCGCAGGCGAGGGAGAGGGGCCGAGCCCUGCGGCCGCCUCCGCGGGGGUUUCUCUCCGUGCUCCCGCUUCGUCCCCUGGGUGGCGGGCUUGCCCGGGGCGCGCGUUUUGGGGUGCGCGCCUGCGGAGCUGGCGCGGCCCUGCACGCGGCCAGCGCGGCGCGGUGCGGUGCCGUGUGGGAGCGCUGCCGCCGUGACCGGCGGGUGAACGUCGCAGGGUGCGAGGUGCUCGGCGCGCGCGGUGCGGGGCGCACGGCACCGUGCAGGGUGCAGGGCCCAGGGGGCAGGGUGCGCGGCGUGGGGGGCAGGGUGCGGAGSACGGGGUGUGUGGGGUGUGGGGCGCAUGGCAUGGGGUGCAGGGUGUAUCGGGGUGCAGAGCACGUGGCACGGGGUGCAGAGCGCGUAGCACAGUGGGUGGCGUGGGGCGCGGGGUGCACGGCGUGGGGUGCAGGGGGAGCCGGGCCCCUCCUGCAGCGUUGUCCCCGCGCCCGGGGCAUGUGCGCGGCGCCCGCCGCCGGGGUCCGGCCCGAGCCGAGCCGAGCCGAGCCGAGGCGGCACCCGAGCGGAGCCGAGCGGAGCCGAGCGGACCCGAGCCGA